Molecule: long non-coding RNA, 514 nt
Organism: Mustela lutreola (European mink)
Lineage: Eukaryota; Metazoa; Chordata; Mammalia; Carnivora; Mustelidae
Exons: 4
Source: RefSeq, a predicted model, not a curated record
UCAUCUCAUUCCUGAUUCAAAUUGAUCCCUUCAGUGGCUCGUUCUUACACUAGCAACGUAAAACUGGCCCAAAUGGGUUUAAAGUGGUCAGAACUUGCUCAUGGCCAGUUCAAACCUUUUCUCACAUGGAAAAAUAAGUUCUGACCAGUUCUAAUCUAUUUUGACCAGUUUAAUGUAAUUCUGCAGAGCUGGAGCCUGAGGUCGGUAAACUCAGGAAGACGGCUGAAGAAGAUGCUGAUUUGAGCCAAAGCAAGGAAUCAGAUUCAUAGAGAUCUCUGGAUCCAGAUUCAGUUCCUAUUUCAUCCUGGACCUGUGGCCACUAGAAGCCCUGAGAUGUGCUUCUUAGGUACUCUGGAACUGGCUUACCAGUAUUUAGAAGGGCACAUCAUUGUGAGCCAGAAUGACAGAGGGCUCAAAAGAUUCCAGGUGCGUUGUCAUAUUCUGAUGCCCUGAUGUUGGGAUCAAUAGAGGAUGGACAUAGAAAAAAAAUCAAGAAUUCUACAUCAUUUUGAUG